Molecule: non-coding RNA, 21 nt
Filed under: Caenorhabditis elegans
Lineage: Eukaryota; Metazoa; Nematoda; Chromadorea; Rhabditida; Rhabditidae
Source: RNAcentral
UCUUUUCAAUUUUUUAUUUGA